GUUCGUCGAUUGCCCAUUGCACCCCAUGUGUGCAUCUGCUCCUUUUUGGCACCCUUGGACGUGGCCACUUCCACCGCGACAGCACACACCAUGCUAGUGGUGCUCGACAUCUCCGCAUCUCUCGCUCUACCUUGCACGCACCCAACAACACAGGCAUCAAACCCACCGCCGCUUGCCCCAGUACACGUCCCCCUUCAUCUCAUGCCUACCUGCGGCCCGGUAGCCCUUGACCCCUCUUUCUCUCAUCGCCCCUCAGCUCGCCAUGAGGCACACCGAGGCCAAGCAGGCCGUGCGCGAGGCCGAGGCACUCGUCGCAGAGAGCCCCUUCAGCCUCCGACCCUUCUCCAACUGGAGCCCGGGGGACUGGAAGGCGAAGGGGUGCGAGCGCGACGAGAUCCGCGAGAACAUGCUGUGCUGGGCCAUCACCGACUUUGGCUGCAGCCACUUCCGCGAGUGCGGCCCCACACUCACCACCGCCCGCAAUGGCGACCAGCUCAUUGUGGGGGAGGGCCAGCCCUGCCCUCGCCACCUACACUGCAAGAAGAGGGAGGACCUUAUCCACCGCGGCGGCUGCGUGCCGGCCAAGAGGCUGCUCCAGAGUCUCUCAGGGGCGCGAGGCGAUGGGCACCAAGGAGGAGCUACGUGUGCACUGCGUGGGCAUCGAGAGGGUGUGCCCUACGGACCACAUGCUCGAGCUGAGACCGGCUGAGGGCAUCACGGUGACGCAGGGCCUCUGCCACGAGCUGCGUGCCGAGGCCACCAUGGGCAAGCUACUUGGUGGUGAGGUGAGCCGGCGCAACGACGACGACCCUGACCGCCGCUUCGCCGCUAUGGUGGGCGGCUUCCCGACGAUUGUGAAGGACGAGAAGUCCAAACGGCUGCUGUGCAACGAGUGCCCGUCGGUGUCCAAGGAUCCCCGAGGUCUAGUCGACAGCGCUCUGGCGAGAGGCGCGUGCACGUGCACCCAUCACUUUCUUGUACCUGCCGUGCUCGGAAGGCGAAUAGACACAACACCCGAAGACAGCGGCAGCAGCACUAGUGGCAGCGGAUGCAGCAGUAGCGGCACACGGAGACGCAAGCAGGGACGCACACACC
RNAcentral lists this unclassified non-coding RNA (1095 nucleotides) under Leishmania donovani. RNAcentral describes it as "gene:unknown". The record is from RNAcentral. Lineage: Eukaryota; Euglenozoa; Kinetoplastea; Trypanosomatida; Trypanosomatidae.